UGGAGUCCAGCCAAACAAUGGGACAGAGAUUUUGAGAUUCCAGGGGAAACAUAUAUAUUACACAUGUAUCUUCAAGAGAUCAAAGGAAAGAACAUGGGACAGGCGAGAUGCUUCUGGUGGGUGCAGAACAUGUCAUGCAUGAAGAGGAAGGAGGGUUUGGAGCACUGAGACCAGCUCUUCAGUGCCCACUCGAAGGUAUCCAGCUCCUCCUGGAUGACAUUGUUGCUGUUGAUGGUUGGCACAGAGUCUUCAUGGAUGAUGUACUUAUACGUCAGGCUAGAGCGUGUGUCGUUCUCCUGAGGUAUGAUCUAAUACACAUAUAUGUGAGAGAGAUGCAAUUAAUAUGCAAGCAACUAGAGACUUAACUAUAAAGCUAAGCAUUUCAGAAUAUUGAUAUUUUAAAAACUGGAAAAUGUUUUUAGAAUGUUUUGUUCCCAUCAACUCAAGUGGUAGCGUGUGAUAUUAAAGAAAAACUUUGAAUAUAAAAUAUGCUGACGAGUAAAUGCUGACAUUAUCAAAAUAAUGUAUUUUCUAUGUUACCUUAAAGUGGGUCGCCUUAAAUUAUACCAUCUCUUCAGUGUAUUUUAAAGUUCGCUAAAAUAAAAUGAUUUACUAUAA
This is a long non-coding RNA of Mesocricetus auratus (golden hamster), 618 nucleotides long. RefSeq lists it as uncharacterized. The record is from RefSeq and is a predicted model, not a curated record. Lineage: Eukaryota; Metazoa; Chordata; Mammalia; Rodentia; Cricetidae. The transcript is spliced from 3 exons.